Pseudomyrmex gracilis is the source of this 434-nucleotide long non-coding RNA. RefSeq lists it as uncharacterized. The transcript is spliced from 3 exons. Lineage: Eukaryota; Metazoa; Arthropoda; Insecta; Hymenoptera; Formicidae. The record is from RefSeq and is a predicted model, not a curated record.
AUGUUAAACAAAGAUAGAAUGACGUAAUAGCGCUGAUAGCGUGCUCUCCGAACGCAGCCAUAGUAUAUAUACUGGCAUGAACAAGCAGCAUUUUAUUCAGUAAAACAAGUGAUCUGUAAAAUAAGAGAGCUCUUUGGUAAUUCAUUUUAAAGCGUAUAUUGGUCUUAACUUAUAUUUGUGUGACAACGUGUUAUUUGCACACGCAGGAAUCUUUUAUAUUUUAUUUAAGAAACUCUUGCGAUUCUGACUGCUAUUUCAAAUAGUUGUAAAAAUAAACUCCAUGGAAGCUCGCAUUUUUACUGUGGAAAAUAAUGUCUAUAAAGGACCAGUGGUUAAUUACACAAGUACCUAUAAAAGCAUCGGACACUUGAUAUGGGAUAAACUUACUAGCCAUGGGAAUAAAAUUGCACAUGUGAGUCUAUUUCUCUCAUAAU